Molecule: transfer RNA, 87 nt
Filed under: Armatimonadetes bacterium CG07_land_8_20_14_0_80_40_9
Lineage: Bacteria; Bacillati; Armatimonadota
Description: tRNA-Leu
Rfam family: tRNA
About the family: Transfer RNA (tRNA) molecules are approximately 80 nucleotides in length.
Source: RNAcentral
GCCGAAGUGGCGGAACUGGUAGACGCGCCUGGUUCAGGACCAUGUGAGGGUUCCCUCGUAGGGGUUCGACUCCCCUCUUCGGCACUA